Molecule: small RNA, 119 nt
Filed under: Marmota monax (woodchuck)
Lineage: Eukaryota; Metazoa; Chordata; Mammalia; Rodentia; Sciuridae
Source: RNAcentral
GCCUGGUGUGGUUGCGCACAUCUGUAAUCCCAGUGGCUGGGGAGGCUAAGACAGGAGGAUCACAAAGUCAGCCUCAGCAAUGGCAAGGUGCUAAGCAACUCAGUGAGACCCUGUCUCUA